GAGUCAUUAGCUCAGUUGGUAGAGCAUCUGACUUUUAAUCAGAGGGUCGCAGGUUCGAACCCUGCAUGACUCA
This 73-nucleotide transfer RNA is filed under the name Granulicatella balaenopterae. It matches the Rfam family "tRNA". Rfam says of the family: Transfer RNA (tRNA) molecules are approximately 80 nucleotides in length. The record is from Rfam by way of RNAcentral. Lineage: Bacteria; Bacillati; Bacillota; Bacilli; Lactobacillales; Carnobacteriaceae. RNAcentral also lists the same sequence under 1 other name.